This 449-nucleotide ribosomal RNA is filed under the name uncultured bacterium. RNAcentral describes it as "partial 16S ribosomal RNA". It matches the Rfam family "Bacterial small subunit ribosomal RNA", at positions 29 to 523 of the family's 1533-position model. The record is from RNAcentral.
AACGAACGCUGGCGGCAGGCUUAACACAUGCAAGUCGAACGCAUCCUUCGGGGUGAGUGGCAGACGGGUGAGUAACGCGUGGGAACGUGCCCUUCAGUUCGGGAUAACCCAGGGAAACUUGGGCUAAUACCGGAUACGUGCGAGAGCAGAAAGAUUUAUCGCUGAAGGAUCGGCCCGCGUCUGAUUAGCUCGUUGGUGGGGUAAUGGCCCACCAAGGCGACGAUCAGUAGCUGGUCUGAGAGGAUGAUCAGCCACAUUGGGACUGAGACACGGUCCAAACUCCUACGGGAGGCAGCAGUGGGGAAUAUUGGACAAUGGGCGCAAGCCUGAUCCAGCCAUGCCGCGUGAGUGAUGAAGGCCUUAGGGUUGUAAAGCUCCUUCGUCCGGGACGAUAAUGACGGUACCGGAAGAAGAAGCCCCGGCUAACUUCGUGCCAGCCGCCGCCGUAA